GGUGAGAGCUGAUGAGACACUAAUGGCCAGAGCCCCACCGGGCGCUGCCCCUCCUCCGAUGAUGGCUCCCGGGAGAGUGGUACCCCAGGAAGUGACCGCAGUCAGAAGCCAGAGAAACCAGAGACCUGGGCUGGAGCCCAGCUCGUUCACUGGGGUUCGGGACACGUGGUAAACCCUCCGCAGGCCCCACUCCUGCCUCUCCCAAACAGCCACAGGCAGGGAGCUGCUGUCAGAUGAAGACCUCACGCCCUGCAAGACCCAGAGUAGGCUGUGCUCAACCCACGAAGAACGGUCAGUCUGUUAAUUCACUGCAUUCCUGAUCCGUGAAAACCGGUAGCUGCCCCCAGGACAUCGGAACAGAAUAAUGUCAAAUCAUGUUGGUGACAGCUGGUAUCUGUGCCCCAGUCCUGACUUCGGUGGGGGCUGGCCUCGUGUUUCGCCCUGAGGGAUGCCGUUUGGUUUUAGGAUGGAGCAGAACCUCACAGUUCUAGCAGAGCCCGCUCUCUGGCACCCACCUCGAAGGAGCUCCUGCUUCCUAGUGAGACACUCGCGCUCCUUGUCACAGAUCUCCCGCCUGUUGUCAGCAGUGAUCUUCUUCAUCGCCAGCUCCAAGUCGUCCUUCUGCUUGGCCAGGAAGUCCCGGUCCUGUGUGGGAGAGACGAGGUCAGACCUUUAGCGCUGGCUUCGGCAUCUCGCCCUCUACUGUUACGACAGGAGAAAAGUCGUCAUGAGCAGCAAAGACAACAUGUGUGGGGGAAAUGUGAGACUUAGAGACAUCAGCCACCUGUGGCACAUGCACUUUUUGUGGACCCCGAUUCAAACAAAUUGUAAGAAAGAAAAAAAUUAAUGAGACAAUUGGAAAUGUACAUAAUGAUUCAACUGCAAAUAAGUAAUUAUUGUUAAAUAUUUAAAGUUUUAGGUACGUUUAUAGUAUUGUGGAUUUUUUUUUUUUUUAGAGAUAAUACGGAGACCUACAGGUGAAAUGACAGGAUGUGUGGGAUUUGAUUCAAAAUAACACAGGAGGGCGGGGGAGUAAGGAGACAUGAGUUCAUAAUUCCUGUGUUCUGGUAAUGAGGGGGUGCCUGUUGUGCCUCUUUCUGCCUAUGUGUUUUAUUUGCCAUAAUAAAGAGUUAAAAAAAUUAAAAUUUAAAAACCUUAGGGAACCCCUAAACAGAAAUAAAAACCCCCACGAACCCUCUCACCCAGGAGUAGCAGCUGGUUUGGGUGUAUCUAUACAGACACGUUUAUGUAAAAGGACUUAGAGAUCUGUACACCCAUGUUCGUAACAGUGUUAUUCACGAUAGCUACGGGAUGGAAACGACUCACGUAUCCACAGACAGAAGAGUGCACAGACAAAAUGUAGUACAGAUACACGUGGAACAUUACUCAGCCCUGAAAAGGAAGGAAAUGCUUAUAUGUGCUACAACAUGGGUGAAUCUCGAGGGCAUGUUAAAUCGAAGGAAAGCAGACACAAAGGACAGAUACCGUAUGAUCCCACAUGCAGGUCAGAUUUGUGGAGACAGAAAGUAGAAUGGUGGUUGCCAGGGACUGGGGAAGGGGUAUCGUGGGGUGUUUUACUAUCUAUUCAGUAGUUUCAGUUUUGCCGGAUAAAGCGUUCUGGGGAUGGAUGGUGGGGCUGGUUUGCACAACAGUGUGAAUGUACUUAAUGCCACUGAA
Ailuropoda melanoleuca (giant panda) is the source of this 1677-nucleotide long non-coding RNA. RefSeq lists it as uncharacterized. NCBI's taxonomy places the organism in Eukaryota, Metazoa, Chordata, Mammalia, Carnivora, Ursidae. The transcript has 3 exons. The record is from RefSeq and is a predicted model, not a curated record.